Molecule: ribosomal RNA, 655 nt
Filed under: uncultured fungus
Lineage: Eukaryota; Fungi
Description: eukaryotic LSU rRNA
Rfam family: Eukaryotic large subunit ribosomal RNA
Source: RNAcentral
CCCGCUGAACUUAAGCAUAUCAAUAAGGCGAGGAACAGAAACCAACUGGGAUUCCCUCAGUAAUGGCGAAUGAAGUGGGAAAGGCUCAAGUUUGAAAUCUGGUGUGGGUCUUGUCCUGCCCCAGAGUUGUAAGCUGAUGAGGCAUGAUGGGCGCCGGCCUGUGGUCUCAAUUCCCUUGGGAUAGGGAGUCGAGGAGGGUGAGAACCCCGUGCAUGGCUGAAAGGCUGGCGUCAGUUGUGUCAUGUCCUCAAAGAGUCGGGUUGUUUGGGAAUGCAGCUCGAAAUUGGGUGGUAAAUUCCAUCUAAAGCUAAAUAUUGGCGAGAGACCGAUAGCGAACAAGUAGAGUGAUCGAAAGAUGAAAAGUACUUUGAAAAGAGGGUGAAACAGUAUGUGAAAUUGUUGAAAGGGAAGCGCUUGGCAUCAGCCCUCGAUGUGUGUCGAUCAUUCUGGCCUUGUGCUGGAUGCACUCGAUGCAUGUUGGGUCAGCGUCGGCCCAAUCCGUUGGAGAAACGUCCUGUUGGGCAUGUGGCUCAUCCAACUUGGGUGGGUGUUAUAGCCCUGGGCGUCAUGCGAUGGGGUGGGGUCGAGGUCUGCGGGGCAAUUUGCACCUAGGACGCUGGCUUAAUGGUCCCAAGCGACCCGUCUUGAAACACGG